Molecule: ribosomal RNA, 481 nt
Filed under: uncultured bacterium
Lineage: Bacteria
Description: partial 16S ribosomal RNA
Rfam family: Bacterial small subunit ribosomal RNA
Source: RNAcentral
GAUGAACGCUGGCGGCGUGCUUAACACAUGCAAGUCGAACGAAGCACUUUAUUUGAUUUCCUUCGGGACUGAUUAUUUUGUGACUGAGUGGCGGACGGUUGAGUAACGCGUGGGUAACCUGCCUUGUACAGGGGGAUAACAGUUGGAAACGGCUGCUAAUACCGCAUAAGCGCACAGCAUCGCAUGAUGCAGUGUGAAAAACUCCGGUGGUAUAAGAUGGACCCGCGUUGGAUUAGCUAGUUGGUGAGGUAACGGCCCACCAAGGCGACGAUCCAUAGCCGACCUGAGAGGGUGACCGGCCACAUUGGGACUGAGACACGGCCCAAACUCCUACGGGAGGAAGCAGUGGGGAAUAUUGCACAAUGGGCGAAAGCCUGAUGCAGCGACGCCGCGUGAGCGAAGAAGUAUUUCGGUAUGUAAAGCUCUAUCAGCAGGGAAGAUAAUGACGGUACCUGACUAAGAAGCACCGGCUAAAUACGUG